Molecule: long non-coding RNA, 1841 nt
Organism: Macaca mulatta (Rhesus monkey)
Lineage: Eukaryota; Metazoa; Chordata; Mammalia; Primates; Cercopithecidae
Source: Ensembl
GGAACAGCCCGCCUGGCGCGCGGAGCUCUGCGCGCCGCGACCCUCUCCGGCAGUCCCGCCCGCGUCUCCUCGCCCUCUCUCUGCCUGGCCUCCAACUUUGCCUCUCGCUGCCCUUUCCGCCGGCGGCCCCUUUCCUGGCGGUCCCCGAGAUGGUCCCUGGAACCCCGAGGACGCCGAGGUUACGGGAAGUUCGGGGACUGGCGGGAGAAGGGGGUGGGUUGUCCGCGGCGAGGGGCGCGGGGCGCAUCUUCUCUUCCUUUUAUGGUUCCCUCCUGUACCCUGGGACCGUUUUCUUUUGCCUGCUCUGGGAGCUGAGUGGGUCAGCUCGUCACAGGCCUGCGGCCCCUGUAUAGGUGACAGAGGAGGCAAAGAUGACACAGAGAAGCUGUCCCUUCAGGGACAAAGCGGGGACACCCACGAGCCUGGCUCUGCCUUACAAAGAAAUGAGAAGGAAUCCUGUUCCUGCUUUUCACCUUAGGUGGACUCUGAGUCUGCGGCCACUCACCACAGUGAUGAGCAGGGCAGGAAACCAUCCAGAUGCGUGGGUCUGAUUCCCCCUCUUCCACUUUCUAGCCCUGUGACCUCAGAUAUGCCACUUCUAAUAGCCUUGCCUCAGUUUUCUCAUCUGUAAAAUGGGACCAGCAGAGUUCCCACUUCCCAAGGCACGAUGAGGAUGAUGUCGUAACACACUCGGAAGCAUUGAUCGCAAUACCAAGCACCAAACAAGUGCUCAGUGAUGAGUAGCUGUCAUUGCUGUUGAAAUGCAAUAGGAACGGAAGGAGAGAACACAGGCUGCUACACUUGUGUGUCCCUUCUUCCUUGAAUUUAACCAGGAGUGAGCAGUGGACAGCUUCUUCCUUGUGAGAAGGAGGUGAAGCAGGACCUGAAGUCCCGUGCUCAACUCCCACAGCCCCUGUGUCCAGGACAAGUCCUUUGCUGACUCAGCAGCAGACGCCACCCGGAGCCCUUCGGGAGCGUUUCCCUGUUCUUCCAGCAUGGAUCUGAAACUCCGUUCCCACUUUCCGCAGUCUCCCGGAUAUAGUUCCGGUUCCAGCCUCAUGUGAUAGCGUGAAGAGAAACUGUGGUUCCAGUAGCUGUGUGCUCUGCUCCCCUUAUCCCAAACGACAAUUUAAAUGCACAAUUACACUUUUCUCUAGGGCCCAAAAUAGGAUAGGAAAGAUGGGUUUGCUAUCCCUGAAUGCCUGUCACCCUUGUUUCAUAAGGAAUUCAGUCCCAGAACACUUGUUCUGCUCCCUGCCUCCUGAUAAGUACUGCGCUGAGCGUGCUUGCUUUGCCAGACGGUUAAAAUAGAGCAGGGGAUAGACGGACAGACGUCUCCACCCUCCCGGAGUUCGCCUUCCAGUGGGAGGAGGCGAGGGGCAGGGGUCUGCACAUGUGCGUGGUAGAGCGUGUUCUACGCCUGUUGACUUGGCCUGGGCCAGCUGUCCUCUCACGCUCAUGAUUGCUGCCUCUGCUCCUGCCAUCACAUCCACAAGCAGUGCCUGUUCAGUGGAACAAAAGGAAAUCAAAAGAGGAAUUACAUUGUCCUGUGUCUCUACGAUGUUUUUUUUUUUUCUUAAUCAUGAAAACUGUUCCCAGAAACCCCACAACAGACUUUCUGUUUCAUCUCAUUGGUCAGAACAGCAUCACAGGAGACUACUGGGAUUGGUGUAGACCAGCUAGGAGGCACCCUUAGAGCCCGUGGAGGAGGGCAGGCAUCCAAGCAGAGCUGGGCCUCAGCGGGCAGGGGAGGACAGGGACUGGCAGGUGUCCUUUGGUCACUCAGAGGACUUCCUUCAGUCCUCCCAGGGCUGGUCAGCAUAAUAAACUGAGGAUGGCAG